Macaca mulatta (Rhesus monkey) is the source of this 269-nucleotide non-coding RNA. Lineage: Eukaryota; Metazoa; Chordata; Mammalia; Primates; Cercopithecidae. The record is from RefSeq and is a predicted model, not a curated record.
UGGCUGUGCCAAUGGCCACCCAGUGGUACCUGAUCCCAUUCCUCCUGACUGGAUGAGACCUGUCAACAGAAGUCUCCAGACACCUCCUACAGGAGUAUUUGGGUCAGCAUCAGGGACAUUAAUGCGGACAUUCCCUUCACUUCGUAACAAGUGAAGACUGUUCACUUACAACUGGCUUGUUGACUUCGCUUGGAACAACUAUGAAUUCAGAAAUCCAUGUGAUCCAGCCUCAGAGCAGAAUUACUAUCAAAUACAUUCAGCUCCAUUAA